Molecule: ribosomal RNA, 431 nt
Filed under: uncultured bacterium
Lineage: Bacteria
Description: partial 16S ribosomal RNA
Rfam family: Bacterial small subunit ribosomal RNA
Source: RNAcentral
AACGAACGCUGGCGGCAGGCUUAACACAUGCAAGUCGAGCGCCCCGCAAGGGGAGCGGCAGACGGGUGAGUAACGCGUGGGAACGUACCUUUUGGUUCGGAACAACUCCGGGAAACUGGAGCUAAUACCGGAUAAGCCCUAACGGGGAAAGAUUUAUCGCCGAAAGAUCGGCCCGCGUCUGAUUAGCUAGUUGGUGAGGUAACGGCUCACCAAGGCGACGAUCAGUAGCUGGUCUGAGAGGAUGAUCAGCCACACUGGGACUGAGACACGGCCCAGACUCGUACGGGAGGCAGCAGUGGGGAAUAUUGGACAAUGGGCGCAAGCCUGAUCCAGCCAUGCCGCGUGAGUGAUGAAGGCCUUAGGGUUGUAAAGCUCUUUUGUCCGGGAAGAUAAUGACUGUACCGGAAGAAUAAGCCCCGGCUAACUUCGUG